CGCCUGUUCCCUUCGUCGCCGCGGCUCUCGUCCGGGACACGGCUUUCCGGAGUAGAGCCCUUGGAGGUGUUAAGUGUGAUGCUUCCAUAAUACAUUUGGAUGCUGUCAGCUAAGUUCACUUCUGAACUAAGGGGUUCCUCCAAAUGUUGGCUGAAAUUCAUCCCAAGGCUGGUCUGCAAAGUCUGCAAUUCAUAAUGGAGCUACUGUACUGGCUAUUGGAAGGAGGAGAUUCUGAAGAUAAGGAGGUAAAACCUGUUUAGAAAUUAAAAAUGAGUUACGAUUUAAAGAAAAUUCAGAUGACUCAUUGUGAGUGCUAGUUCUCUUGUAGGAUGCCACUGGAAAUGUUGAAAUGAAAAAUAUUCAGCCGUUGGUCUUUGAAAUUUCCUGUGAUGUGUUUCAAUCUAGAUGCAAAGAACAUGGAAAAAUCAAAGUGCUCGAGUGGUUUAAAUAUGUUUUGGGUAUUCCUGUUUAUAGACUAUAAUACUUUUCCAAUUAAAAUCCUCAGUUGUCACGCAGAAGAAGGUUAAGCUGUAUUUGAUUGCCAGUUUUACUGAAAAUGCUUAGUAUUUUACAGUAUCACCAAAUAUAUUUUGUUUAGCCAAGGUAUAGGAAAAAUAAAAUAAAUUGUAUAGGUUGACUUUUUUCUAAAAUGUCUUUAUUGGAUUGAAUGAAUGUUUAUACCUGAAAAAAAAAGGUUCAAAAAAAUUCCUUUUUCUAUCAGAGUCAUUCUUUUGACAAUCAGAUAUUAGACUAGGUUUAAAAUAACUUUCUAAUAUGACUCAUAUUUAUGGGAGGAAAAAGACUUGAAAGAUAUUCCUAUGUGUACUUUAAUUUUCUGUAAUAGUCCCUCUGGAAUAGAAUAUCUCUUCCUCAAACAAAUCUAUUGGCUCAUUUCAUAUACAAGAAAAAGUUGCCCUAAAUGGCAGAGUUUCAUCUCUGUAAAGAAGGCUGACAUCCACUUCCUUCACAGAAUCCCUGCAUUUGGGUAAUUGAGUAAUGAUAGAUUACCUUGCCAUUGGGAAAUACCUUGUUGUGGCCUUUGUAGCAGCUAUAGGAAGAUGGAAGAAUUCUUUUGUAUAGACAGGUCUCUAGCCUCUUUGGUGUGGACACUGUGAAGGGGUACAUCUGGUGAGAAGGAGUGCUUAGGGAAGGAACUGGGAAGGUCCACAAAGGCUGAUGAUGACAAAGAAUCCAAGGGCUAUGAUGAAUUCUUAAGCUUAGAUCUCAGAGUCAUAAAGUAAAUUUAUUAGGCUAGAGAGAUUUCCUUUUUUAUUUUUGAUCAAACUUUAUUUUUUCAGAUUGUUAAGUUCACAUGCAGUUGUACAAAAUAAUACAGAGAUCUUUGAACACUACCCAGUUUCUCCUAAUAGUAACUUCUUGCAAUAUACUGUAUAGCACAGCAUCACAACCUGGAUACUGACAUUGAUGCAGUCAAGACAGAGAACAUUUAUAUCAUGAGGAGGAUCCCUCAUUACCGCCCUUUGAUAUCCACCCCUACUUCCAGACCAUCUCACUCCUCCCUUAACCCUGGCAACCACUAGCAUGUUCUCCAUUUCUAUAAAUUUGCCUUUAUAGGAAUGUUAUAUAAUUGCAAUUAAAGUGUGUAACCUUUUGGGGUUUGACUCACCCGGCAUCAUUUUCUGGAGAUUCAGCUUAUAUGUGUCAAUAGUUUGUUCCCUUUUUUUUAGUUCAGUAGUAUUCUGUGGUACGUGUGUACCACAUCACUCAUCAAUUCGGACUUCUGGGUUGUAUCUGGUAUUUGAUUAUUACAAAUAGAAGUACUAUAUAUAUAUUCGUGUAGAGGUUUCUGUGUGAACAUAAACUUUCAUUUUCCUGGGACAGAUGCCCACGAGUGAAAAUUGUGAGUCAUAUGGUAAUUAUGUAGAGUAUUUUUUUUUUGAGACGAUUUGUUUAUGAUUUUAAAACAUAAAAAUAUAAGUUGUAGCCAAAUAUAAGGAAGGAUUUUUCCACAAUCUAGACUUUAUUCUUAUUUUAGAGAAAUACUUUUGAAAAAAUUGCUUUAUUGGCAAACAAUUCCUAUGUAAAGGAAUAAAAGACGCAUAUACUCUAGGAAAGAUGUUGCAAAGCUGACAGGCAACUUUGAGAAAGAUGAGGGCAGUUUUCCAGUGUUACUGGAGACUUGACAUUCAAGGAUGUAUUAUGAUAGUUUCUGAAUUGAUAGAUUCUUUAGCGUUUGUCACUACCCUCAGGCCUGCAGUUUUUAUUUGUAGAAUUAACUCAUCUUUACAAUGCUUUGUUGAGUGCUGUUGCAGAAAAUGCUCAUGUAAUUCAAUUAUAUGCAGUUAGGAAAAAGAAGUAUCUUUUUCUAGUACAUGGCCCCUAAAAUGAUGACUUUCCACAAUGCUGAAUGGAGGAAACAGCUCUGUUUCCAUCAAACUCUGGUGGAAAUUAUACAAAGUUAUAUUAUGCUUUAUGAGACAUAGUGAGGUAGUACACAACCAUAUAUGCUAUAUUAUUGGGGAGACCCACUGAAAGAAUUUUCAAGGAUAAUUUUUGCUCUGAUUUUCUAUCAUGUAUAUUGACUUUAUUGAUUGAUUGAUUGAGAUGGAGUCUCACCCCGUCACCCAGGCUGAAGUGCAGUGGUGCAAUCUCUGCUCACUGCAACCUCCGCCUCUCAGGUUCAAGUGAUCCUCGUGCCUCAGCCUCCCGAGUAGCUGAGACUAUAGGUGUGUGCUACGAUGCCCAGCUAAUUUUUGUAUUUUUAGUAGAGACAGGAUUUGGUAGCCUGGUCUCGAACUCCUGACCUCAGGUGAUCUACCCACCUUGGCCUCCCAAAAUACUGGGAUUACAGGUGUGAGCCACCGUGCUGGCCAAGUAUAUUGACUUUAAAACGUUACCGGCUGGGCGUGGUGGUUCACGCCUGUUAUCCCAGCACUUUGGGAGCCCGAGGCGGAUGGAUUACCUGAAGUCAGGAGUUCGAGACCAGCCCAACCUGGUGAAACCCCGUCUCUACUAAAAAUACACAAAUUAGCCGGGCGUGGUGGCAGGCGCCUAUAAUCCCAACUACUGGGAAGGCUGAGGCAGGAGAAUUGCUUGAACCUGGCAGGCGGAGGCUGCAGUGAGCCAAGACUGCGCCACUGCACUCCAGCCUGGGCAACAAGAGCAAAACUCAGUCUCAAAAAAAACAGAAAAAAAAAGUUACCACGGGUGAAACAUUGGGCUGGUCACAGUGAUCCUUCUAACAGCAGUCAAUAUUAUAAAUCUAGCUUUUUUUUUUGAGUGAGAUACUAGGCCCAGGGAACCCGAGUCUUUCAAUCCUCAUGAAUAUAGUUUAAUCUUUAGCUCAUUAUGGUCAUGACCAUAGUUAAAUAAAUGACACGAGAUAAUAAAAUAGUCUUUGCCCUUAAAACUGACCUGGGUAAAAGGAUGUACACUUGAAUCUUUGAAUACCAGAAUAGUCAUUCAUUCAUUGAGCCGUGUUGUAGCAUCCCAUCUUCUGGCACUUCCAGCACUGGGAACCCAUCAUAAAGAAGGCACUACAGGCCAGGCGCUGUGGCUCACGCCUGUAAUCCCAGCACUUUGGGAGGCCAAGGCAGGCGGAUCACCUGAGGUCAGGAGUUCGAGACCAGCCUGGCCAACAUGGUGAAACCCCAUCUCUACUAAAAAUACAAAAAGUAACUGGGCAUGGUGGCAGGCGCCUGUAAUCCCAGCUACUUGGGAGGGUAAGGCCAGAGCAUCGCUUGAACCCGGAAGGCAGAGGUUGCAGUGAGCCAAGAUCCUGCCAUUGCACUCCAGCCUGGGGGAUAAGAGCGAGACUUCGUCUAAAAAAAAUAAAAAUAAAAAGGCACUACAGCACCUGUUCUCUUAGUGUAGCUCUAUUAGCUCUUAGACUAGGGGGUAGGGAUGGGAAAAAGUAAAAAGAAACUGAGAAACCAAUCUAAUUACGCAUAAUCAGAAAUCCAAAGCUUCCAGAAUUCAUGAGGAAAAAGAACUGCAGCUGAUGGAGUAGGCAUUACAGAGAAUGAGAGGCUUGCUUUUUUUUUAAGUUUCAUUUUAUUUGUAAUUGACACAAUAGCACAUAUUUACGGGAUACAGUGUGACAUUUUAAUACAUUUACAUAUUGUGUAAUGAUCAAAUUAGGAUAAUUAGCUUAUGUAUCACUUCAAAAACAUAAUUUCUUUGUGAUGAGAACAUUCAAAAUCUUCUAGUAUUUUGAAAUACAUAAUGCAAUAUUGUUAACCACAAUCACCCUACUGUGCAAUAGAACACCAGAGUUUACUCCUCUUUUCCAUCUGUAGCUUCAGACCCAUUGACCAAUCUCUCCCCUUCGCCCCCCACCACCCCCCCCCCCGCCGUCACCACUCUCCUCCCCUCCCCAGCAAGAGGCUUGAAUCUUGAAGGAGCACAUCAGAUAGAAAGAGGGAAAUCAACUGGGACAUGGUUUGUUGGAAGUGGGGUGGAAUCUGGUUUGUUUACAGUUUCAGAGUUUGAGGCAUCAAAAGUGUAUGUCAUUGCCCAAAAGUAUUUAACAGCUUUCUAUGUUUUAGGAAUUCACUAGAAAUAAGGCAUGCUUUUUAAAAAAGAAAAAAAAUAGUAAUCUUUGAAUUUAAAUAUGUGGGUUUCCAUGAAAAACAAAUGAGUACCCUUCCUUGAAAAACUACUACUUUGAAGAGUCUCGUAGGUUCUGAGGCUCGUGUGUGUGUGUGGGUGUGUGUGUAUAAAACAUUUUCUUUUAUAUUUGGUAAGAAGGAAUAAGGUAUUUUAUACUUUUCUGGUCUGUUAAAUGCAUAAUCUAUAAGACUAUAAUACUUUAAAAAAUUUUAGUUUAUCUGAGGCUUAAAAUAACAAAAGAACUUAAAGCUCCUGUGGAAGAGCUCCAAAAUUAAAACUGUAAGAUCACAUAUAGAUAAAACGUUAUAUAAAGCAGGCUUUGGGACCCCAGGCAUGAUGGCUCAUUCCUGUAAUCCCAGCACUUUGGGAGGCCAAGGUGGGUGGAUCACCUGAACCCAAAAGUUCGAGACCAGCCUGAGCAACAUGGUGAAACCCUGUCUCUACAAAAUACAGAAAAAAAAAAUAUUAACCAAUUUUUUUAACCUCCCAGCUACUUGGGAGGCUGAGAUGGGAGGAUGGCUUGAGCCUGGGGAGGUCGCGGCUGCAAUGAGUCAUGAUCGCGCCACUGCACUCCAGCCUGGGUAAUAGAUUGAAACUCUGUCUCCACACACACACACACAAAUGACUUUUGGUAAGACUGUACAUAGAGUUUAUGGCCUUAUUAAGAAACUCUUUUGAGCAACCUAAGAAAACACAAGUAUUUCUGUACAUUACUUUGUUAAAGUGUACAGGAUAAUAAGAGAGAGCUAAGAGCCUUUUCUAAAUGUGCAUCCAAUUUUAAGAGGCUAAAAUAGGAAGCUUUCAUAUAGCCAAGGCCCCAUUAACUUGGGAAUCUGGAAAACAGAAGACGUAAGUUUCUAUCAGAGUUUCUUUAAAUUUAUGUAAAUCAUAAAUUUGAGCAAGGCAGUUAUAAAAGACAUUAAAAUUAAGAUACUCAGGAUUUUAUAUGUAAUAAUAUUGAUUCCAAUAUCUUCAACACUAUGGCAUUGCCAAUGAGGAGACCAAAAUGAAUUGUAUUUUAUGAAAGGGCUAUAUUAGACCAGUGACUUAAAAGUUCCAAGUACAUAUAAUGACAAAGCGUUGUGGAAUCAUCUUGUACUACUGUUUAUGUAGUAGUUUAAAAAAAAAAAGAAAAAGAAAAUGGUGCAAUUUUAGACAGUUUAAAAAAAUUUUACAAAUACUGCAAAUCAUAGGUUGGUUACCACUAGACUUCCUGACUGCAGUGGUUGCUGUAUUCACUGUACAUUCUUUUAAAACACCAGGCACUUUAUAAUUUUGUCUAUAAUUGUUUAUAUAUUUUUUCUUCACAACAUGUUUUAGAAUAACUUAUUGCUAAGUUACUUCAACGUAUGUGCCAUCUUUAAACUUUAUAUAUGAGUAUACUAAAGUGUCAUUUGCAAGACACAUCUAUGCACUAUUUUUUUUUUCAGGAGCCUCUUUAUUCAAAAUACUUUUAAAUGCAGUGCAUAAAAAUAGCAGGCCACUUCCACUUGCAGGCUUUUGAAGCUGGAGAAGACUUGUUUUUCACAUGAGGAAACUGAGUCCCAGCAAGGUGAAAUGACUUGCUAGUAAGUGAUACGAUUAAACUUAUUUUUUGACUCCAAAGCACAUUCUGCCAACUUGAAGAUGCUUGUCCCAACUUCUGGAAAUUCACCCUAUCAACGUCUGUAUCACAACCCCAUUCUUAAUAAUAGUUUCUUCACAUUAGAAAUAAAUGUCAGAAAUAAAUGUCUACUUGUCAUUUGUACAUGUCAUGCAAACAUCUUGGCACCAGAUAUGGGUACAAGUAGAAAGCAUCAGCGUGUUCAUCUAAGAACUGGAUUUUAUCCAAUGGAAUGUUCUGUUUAUUCAUUGCUAUUCAUGCAUACCUGCUGUGUUUUAACGUUGUGAUAAAUCCAGAGAAUCAAAUAUGAAUAAAAAUACUCCCUGAAUUCAACAAAGUAGGCAUUGGCUCUGGCCAGGGGACAAAAUGUUAAAUGGCAUGCAGUCUUCACCCUGGCACAACUUGAAGCUUAUCACCUAUUGUAGAGAUGAAGCCAUAAACAGAUCAUUUCAGCACAGCAUGAUAAGGGGGAGCUCCAGGGAUCAUGGUAGUACAUGGGCCCAGUCCCUAAUUAAAUCUGGUGGAGUGUGGGCAAAGUUAAGGAAGGCUUCCUAGAGGAGAGGGCAUUGGGGUUGAUCCCUGGCAGGAACAGGGCUCCAGGCAAGGGGAACAAAGACCAGU
RNAcentral lists this long non-coding RNA (6796 nucleotides) under Homo sapiens (human). RNAcentral describes it as "non-protein coding lnc-IRX3-80:43". Lineage: Eukaryota; Metazoa; Chordata; Mammalia; Primates; Hominidae. The record is from RNAcentral.